CCUACGGGAGGCAGCAGUGAGGAAUAUUGGUCAAUGGACGCAAGUCUGAACCAGCCAAGCCGCGUGCAGGAAGACGGCGCUAUGAGUUGUAAACUGCGUUUGUAAGAGGGUAAACGGAGAUACGCGUAUCUUUCUGAGUGUAUCUUACGAAUAAGGAUCGGCUAACUCCGUGCCAGCAGCCGCGGUAAUACGGAGGAUUCGAGCGUUAUCCGGAUUUAUUGGGUUUAAAGGGUGCGUAGGCGGUCGGUUAAGUUAGAGGUGAAAUCCCGGGGCUCAACUCCGGACUUGCCUUUGAUACUGGUCGGCUAGAGUGUGGUUGCGGUAGGCGGAAUGUGUGGUGUAGCGGUGAAAUGCUUAGCGAUCAUGCAGAACACCGAUUGCGAAGGCAGCUUACCAAGCUGCAUCUGACGUUGAGGCACGAAAGCGUGGGGAUCAAACAGGAUUAGAUACCCCGGUAGUC
RNAcentral lists this ribosomal RNA (460 nucleotides) under uncultured bacterium. Its description in RNAcentral is "partial 16S ribosomal RNA". It matches the Rfam family "Bacterial small subunit ribosomal RNA", at positions 338 to 795 of the family's 1533-position model. The record is from RNAcentral.